ACUUCCUUGUUCCCCGGCAAGCGACCCAAUGGUCGCCGCCACUGCCACUGCCACUGCCACCGCUUCAAGAGCGCCCUGCGAGGAGCUUUCCUCCGACCAAUGUCCUGAAGGGCACCUUUAUUACCACCCCGCUAAAAACAGUACUUAUUUAUCUACCCGCAUUUCUGCUUUUGACCUUCUAGGUGGACAGGGUCUGGAUGCCUGAAAUGAGGUGCAUAGAGAAGAACGAGGGGAAACUGGGCAGUGGUGCUUCCUCCGUGGGAUGAGAUUCUUCCACAAAAGAAUAGGCCACAAAGUACCGAGGGACGCCUGGCAAACUUCACUAACCGCGGAUGUUUCAGAAUGGAAUUCAGGAAUCUCACCAGGCUGAAAGCAAAUGACAGAAGACUUUAUUCCAUCUGCACAGAAAGGACACUUGUACAGCAAUGGGUGCUCAAAAGGCACAAGUGUAAAAGCAUAAUAAUAAAGCCGGCAUUUUGAUACACAA
Anolis carolinensis (green anole) is the source of this 487-nucleotide long non-coding RNA. RefSeq lists it as uncharacterized. NCBI's taxonomy places the organism in Eukaryota, Metazoa, Chordata, Lepidosauria, Squamata, Anolidae. The record is from RefSeq and is a predicted model, not a curated record. The transcript has 3 exons.